This 200-nucleotide long non-coding RNA is filed under the name Lathyrus oleraceus (garden pea). RNAcentral describes it as "Pisum sativum (pea) long non-coding RNA (PSAT_LNC007706)". Lineage: Eukaryota; Viridiplantae; Streptophyta; Magnoliopsida; Fabales; Fabaceae. The record is from RNAcentral.
GACCGUCUAUGGAUGACUUGAAGUGUUGAAGAUAGGAUCAACCAAGCAAGCACUCAAGCAAAGUCAAAAGGAUGACAAAAUUUGAAUUAAAUAUUAAUUAAAAGGAUUUAAAAAUGGAAAAUAACUAGAAAAUCCCAAACCAUAAGCAAAACAAUAAAUAAAUGGCUAAGAAAAAUACACAAAGUCCCAAAUAUUACUCA